RNAcentral lists this small RNA (125 nucleotides) under Marmota monax (woodchuck). Lineage: Eukaryota; Metazoa; Chordata; Mammalia; Rodentia; Sciuridae. The record is from RNAcentral.
GCCAGGUGCGGUGGCACAUGCCUGUAAUCCCAGCAGCUCAGGAGGCUGAGGCAGGAGGAUCGCGAGUUCAAAGCCAGCCUCAGCAAAAGCAAGGCUCUAAGCAACUCAGUGAGACCCUGUCCCUA